Molecule: non-coding RNA, 1361 nt
Organism: Misgurnus anguillicaudatus (oriental weatherfish)
Lineage: Eukaryota; Metazoa; Chordata; Actinopteri; Cypriniformes; Cobitidae
Source: RefSeq, a predicted model, not a curated record
GUUACUGUUAGCGCUAUAUUAUGUAAUUAAAUUAAUAUUUAAUGUUGUUUCCACUGUAUGGACCAAACUGUUACCCCUUUCUACCAGCAGGUGGCAGUAUUUAAACGACUGACUGUAUUGUGCCUUUGGCAACUGUUUUAAAUCAAGAUUACUGAUACAGAUGUAUUUAUUGAUGUUCAUUUCAUUUUUUAUUUUAUUUGCAACCUAGUUAUCAUCAUCGUCUACAUGCCCUUCUGUUUUAACCUGAUUCUAACACUGCUAUCAUCUCCAUGCUGGUAUGUUGAAAUCAGAAAUGUCCUAAUGUAGGCCAUUUAGUCAAAACAAUGAUUUACCAGUGUGCUAUAUACUGUGUGAAUCUUUCUUCUCUAUACACAUUCCAGUGUGUAUAACAUACAACACUCCCAUUGUGUCACGCAAGUGAAGAUAAGCCAUAAAGGUCUUAAACAUUUAUUCAACAUAAUAGCACAGACAUGCUUUCAAAGACAUUGCAUGUGCAAUAUAUGGUUGCAGAACAUUUACCGUGAAGUCCUAAGGUUUAUAAUUCUGUUUAGUAUAAUUGCUUCUAUAUACAGUUCAUGGAGAUCUCUGCUAAUGAGUUUAUGAUUUGAAUCAUGUGUGUUAAAUAAGGGAGACAUACAAAAUGUGCAGAGCAGUGGGAUCCAGGAAUAACAUUGAGAACCACUGGUCUACAGGACCAGAGAAGACAGCAAACCAUGCAGAAGAGACCCCAAAGGAUACUAAAGGACAGUACCCGCCCAGCCACAACCUGUUCACCCUGCUGCCUUCUGGAAACAAUAGAAGUUUCUGCUGCCAGACUGUAGAGCAGCCCCCCCCCCCCAAGUUAUCGGACUGGUAAACUCUAGUUCAUCCUUAGCACUCCUCCACUGAUUAUAAUUUAUUUCUGUUUAUUAUAAUUGCUUCUAUAUUAAUGUAUAUUGUCUGCUAUAGCAAAAGCAAGUUACAAAGUGAAUGUUUUGGAAAUGCCAAGUCAAAAGUUCUGACCUUAAAAUUAUUGAAAUGUUGGGGAAGGAUGAGGAAGCAAGCAGCUCAUGUGAGGAAACCCACCAAUAUUGGUGCUAAAGCUGUUCUGUACAGAGCAAUGGGCAAAUAUUUAUCCAAGCCAAUAAGCAGGAUUGCUCAAAAGUUACUGGAAACGUUUUGUUGCAAUUAUUGCUGCUUUACUCAGCAUGGACAGCUUGUUUUUAGUAAUGCAAUUAUGUUUUUGGACUUUCUUUUUAGGACCUUGUAAAAUGUUCUAACUUUAGGGCUUAACUGUAAAUGUUCUGCAACCAUAGAUUGCACAUGCAAUGUCUUUGAAAGCAUGUCUGUGCUAUAUAUGUUGAAUAAAUGUUUAAAACUUG